This is a small nucleolar RNA of Quercus robur (English oak), 89 nucleotides long. RefSeq annotates it as small nucleolar RNA SNORD116. The transcript has a single exon. NCBI's taxonomy places the organism in Eukaryota, Viridiplantae, Streptophyta, Magnoliopsida, Fagales, Fagaceae. The record is from RefSeq and is a predicted model, not a curated record.
GCAUUGAUAAAUUGCCAAAAAAACACAUUCAAUUGCCCAAAAAAUAUGAAUGAAAAAUCCAAGUUGUCAUAAUAAUUGUUGUAAAGUGC